CAUUGUCUCCAGUAGCCCAGCCCAGCUCCAGCGCAAGCCACGGGCUCCCUCGCGGUGCCCCUCUCCGACGGCGACUCGCAUCCGCGCCGCCACGCGAUUCGGCGACGCCGUCCGUCGGUUCCUCCGCAGUCUGCUAGGCGUCACUCCGCCCGCUCGUUCUCCACUCUCCAGGCCCUGAUCGAGGCAGCACCGCCCGACCCUGACGACGCCUGAGCGGGAGCGGCCGAGCCCUAGUGCCGUCGUUUUGCCGGGGCCGCCCGACUCCGUGACGUUGCCUGCGUGGGACGGGCGACGCCGCCAGUCCGUGACGGCGGACGGCCACGGGUCACAGCGGCACAGGAGGCAUCCCCAAUCGGCAAAUCCCCUAACGGCGACUGGUGUAUACUCUGCUCCAUCUCCAUCCCGCAUUCCCGCUUCAACCCUUUGUCAUCAUGCUUGAAGAACCAGAUGAUCACUGCUAGGCAUACUGGUCUGUCACUGGGUCCGCCACUGCUCCUACCUCUCCCAAAUCUCAGCGAUGAUGCAGAAGAAGCUAACACUGCUGCAGACAGUGGCGGCUGCGGGAGUCUUCUCAGCUGUCUCCUGCUGGUAUGGCUUCAUGUUUGGAAGGGAGUCCGCGCGGCGUGAGCUAGGUGGCAUCAUAGACGACCUCCGCAAGUCUAACACCACAUCUAUUGCUUCCUCUGAACCUGAUGCUAAUUCCAAGCCAUAAUACGAUCCAGGCCAGCAAUCCCAAGAGCAAGAAUAGGCGUUCAUCAUAAAUGAUCUGAUUGGCUAUUAGACCUUCUCACCAAGGAGGAUGAUUAUCAGAGGAAGAUCGAGGCAAUUGGACAAUAGGUUUGGUAGGUCUGUUUUACUGAGGCUGCGUUUUGAAUUUACUGAAAUGUGUAAUGGUAUCAUUUGAUAUGUGGCCUGGAGAGCUGUUCCUUCCCUUAUUAACAAUAUUGCUCAUAAAUCUUCAGGCAUGGCAGAACUGUUGGUGCAUGAUACUGCUGAUAUGUGAUUAUUUCUUUCACGCUAUUGAUUUGUUGAGCUCA
Molecule: long non-coding RNA, 1037 nt
Organism: Setaria italica (foxtail millet)
Lineage: Eukaryota; Viridiplantae; Streptophyta; Magnoliopsida; Poales; Poaceae
Exons: 4
Source: RefSeq, a predicted model, not a curated record